Small nuclear RNA from Dermacentor andersoni, 189 nucleotides. RefSeq annotates it as U2 spliceosomal RNA. Lineage: Eukaryota; Metazoa; Arthropoda; Arachnida; Ixodida; Ixodidae. The record is from RefSeq and is a predicted model, not a curated record.
AUGGCCGAUCGACGUGGGUCAAAGUGUAGUAUGUUUCCUUAUAUUCAGCUUAAUAUCUGAUACGGGUUGUAUUUGGAUCCACGCUAUUAAACUUCUCUGCAAGUUGGCAGAAUGCUUGAAGCCUAGCUGCUUCACCUCCGCCGCGGGUCGGCCCAGUAUUUCGCUAUCUUCGGGAUCGGUCCACGGUUU